GACAUAGGUGGCGAACGUUAUCCGGAAUUAUUGGGCGUAAAGGAUGCGUAGAUGGUAGAAUAAGUUACUGGUCGAUGCCAAACUCAAUUUGACGGAAGCUGGUAAUACUGUUCUGCUCGAGGGCGGGAGAGGUUGAUGGAAUUCUGUGUGGAGCGGUGAAAUGCGUUGAUAUCAGGAGGAACACCCAUGGCGAAGGCAGCUAACUGGGCAUUAUCUGACGCUGAGGCGCGAAAAGCGUGGGUAGCAAACAGGA
Molecule: ribosomal RNA, 253 nt
Filed under: uncultured bacterium
Lineage: Bacteria
Description: partial 16S ribosomal RNA
Rfam family: Bacterial small subunit ribosomal RNA
Source: RNAcentral